This 2772-nucleotide long non-coding RNA is filed under the name Sus scrofa (pig). RNAcentral's name for it is "lncRNA (ENSSSCG00060030218.1)". Lineage: Eukaryota; Metazoa; Chordata; Mammalia; Artiodactyla; Suidae. The record is from RNAcentral.
AAGAAAGAAGGGGUGUGUUCAGGAGUCCCAGCAACGCACAAGACUAGGAGCAGGACAGCCUCCUCGGAUCCCACCUCUUGGUACUUCACACAAAAGACUGUUGUGAGGAUUAAGAGUUUAGAACAAUGUCUGGCAAGUUUGCUGGUUUUAUGAAACGAAGUCAUGCAAAUCUGCUUUAGAAAAGAUGAAUGUGAGCUAAUAGGAAAAUUCAGAAGGAAUGCUGUCACAGAGGACUUGCAGUGAAUGGUGGCACCUGGGAGGGUCUGGAGGUACCGAGGGUCUGAUAGGCAGCCAGGAGGUGCCAGCCAGUGCCAGUGUGUGGGGGAGGUGUUGGGCAGCCGUGGUGGGGGGGUUGGAGCAGAUGGUGCAGGGUACUGAUACUACAUGGGUAGGCCAUGUCAGGCAGUUGGCAGUGCUGGAGGAGGUGGCACCUGCUAGGACAUUUUCUCUGGAGGUGAGGAUGACAUGCACCUGCCGUUUUUACAACCUGGACAGGUAGACCUUUGAACUGAUUUUCUCUUGACCGAAACAGCAGAACACACUAGACACACACAGGUAUUGCAGGUGCUUAUGAGCAAAAGAUGAUCAUUGAGAGUCAGCUUGGAAUCAUGCAGACAAAGUCCUGCCGAAAGCAUCCUUUUUUUAAAAAGCAAGAUUACUACCUGUUAGAUCAGGGUAGUAUCUGUUAGAUGCCAGGGACCAAGAUCACAGGGGGAUGUUAGGGUGAUGCCAGCAAGUCUUCUGACCACGAUGUGACACUCUUGUGACUUCAGCGGAGAGCUGGGAGGAGAGUUUUGAAUAAUUAGAAGGACUGUCCCUGGUAGGACCACCCUGUCCAGAGUGCGGAUGGACAGUUUGUUGCAGAGAGCAAUGGUUUCUCUACGGACACCUUAAAGGGCCAUGAUCUUGAUUUCUGGUGUUCAUAUUUUAUCAACAAGUUGGUUGAGGACCACAUGCCAUCAACAGCUCAUGGGACCCUGGCUGUUAAAGGCCACGCCACACCAAGGGCAGAAUCUACCUUCACAAAUGUUGUUACAUGGGGUACGUGGUUUCAGUUGGGGAACUGAAAAAAGUUCUGAAGAUGGAUGGGGAAGGUUCUUAAGGUCACGGAACUGUUCACCUAAAAAUGGUUAAAGUGGUGUGUUUUAUUAUGUGUCUUUUACUGCAAUAAAGUGUUUUUAAAAGGUUGUUAUAACUGAGAGAAUAAGGUUUCUUAUAUAAAUUCUAUUUAGCACAAGGGCUAAAAGCCAAAGGACAGUGCGUCUCACUUCUUGCUGUGCUGUGACAUAUUUGCGCUGAUAAGCUUUCAGUUCAGAUGGAUUCGAAAGCAAGGCCACACUGAGAGAAGGCGUUGGGGAGUUUCCACUUCGUGUUUGUUUUGGUUUUGGAUAUGCACUAUUUGAGGUUCAGUGAAAACAAAACUGAAAAGGGAAAAAACUGAAAAGGUUUGCGUAAAGGGAACUUGAAGCCAUCACCUCAAUAGAACUAACUAACAGAUUCAAAUAAAAACCCAGAAUUUAAAACAAUUCAGAUUGACCAAUUUAUUUACAAAAAUUAUAAUAAAUAAAUUAUAAUAAAUAAAUUAUACCAACAAAACAUAUGGGAAAAGUUUGCUGACAGGAUUGGCCGUGUAUAUGACAUAUCAUGACUGUAUUUUAUUUCAUAUUUUGAAUCUAUUUCAUUAACUUUGUAUAAAUACAUUUUUUUUCUUUUUCUUUUUAGGGUCGCACCUGCGGCACUUGGAAGUUCCCAGGCUAGGGGUGAAAUUGGAGCUGCAGCUGCCAGCCUUCACCACAGCCACAGCUACACCACAUCCGAGCCUCAUCUGCGACCUACACCACAGCUCAUGGCAACACUGGAUCCUUAACCCACUGAGUGAGGCCAGGGAUUGAACCUGCAUCAUCACAGACACUAUGUGGGUUCUUAACCCCCUCAGCCACAAGAGAGCUCCUGUGUAACUACUUUUUAACUCCACUCACUGUCCAUGGGAAGCUUCAGUGAGGGGUGUGCUUGGCCUGGCUGCUAUGCCUUUAAGAUACUCUGCAGUCUUGACCCCAAGGCAGCUCUGGAGCAGGGUUGGGAUAGGGGGUCGUAUAAGAACCUGGCCAUUUCUGACAACGCAGGGCACCCCUAAGGCCGGCUCUGCUCGGGGCACCCCAUCAGCCUGGCCAAGGCUUUCCAGGAGCCACAUCUCAAUUAGAGGCUCCUCACACCUAGCACUCCCUCCUCCUGCUCUACUCACCCAGGUGUCAGAACUGCAUCGGAUCCUGAAGACCCUGGCCUGUAUCCUUCCCAGGCAUCCCCUUGAAAGCUCACCCCUGCCUAAUCCUGCUCGGCAUAGCUUCCUGGAGGAGGAAGACCAAAGAGGCCUGGAAGCUUUGGGGCAUCAAGUUGGGCCGCGUAUCUAGCAGGAGGGACCCCCCCACCCCGCGUCGAAAUAAAGAGGGUCCCUUCUCUCUGUUUGUGCAUCAGGCUUCCAGACACCAUCCCCUCCCCCAGCCUCUUCUUUGUGGGCUUCUUUGAAACCCUCUCUCCUCCCUCCCGCUCCAGUUUUGAUAAAUACUCUCUUUACAAGUGCUAAUAUGCUCACUACCAUCUACGGAAUGGAGGGUCAACAGGGACCUGCUGUCUAGCACCAGGAACUCUACCCAAUAUUCUGCAAUAACCUAAAUGGGAAAAGAAUCUGAAAAAGAAUGGAUGUGUGCAUGUGUAUAACUGAAUCACUUUGCUGUACUGCAGAAAUUAACACAACACUGUCAUCAACUGUUCUCC